This 345-nucleotide unclassified non-coding RNA is filed under the name soil metagenome. RNAcentral's name for it is "partial contains 5.8S ribosomal RNA, internal transcribed spacer 2, and large subunit ribosomal RNA". The stretch from base 1 to 121 matches the Rfam family "5.8S ribosomal RNA", at positions 35 to 154 of the family's 154-position model. The record is from RNAcentral.
GAUGAAGAACGUAGCGAAAUGCGAUAAGUAAUGCGAAUUGCAGAAUUUCCGUGAGUCAUCGAAUCUUUGAACGCACAUUGCGCCCACUGGUAUUCCGGUGGGCAUGCCUGUUCGAGCGUCAUUAUCCUCCCUCAAACCCCGGGUUUGGUGUUGGACCCAAGUUGUGUGAACAACUGGUCUCAAAGACAAUGACGGCGUCCGUGGGACCCUCGGUGCAACGAGCUUUUAGGAGCACGCAUCGAGUUGCAAGGACCUUCCGGGCCGGUCUCCUUUACCAUUUUACAAGGUUGACCUCGGAUCAGGUAGGAAUACCCGCUGAACUUAAGCAUAUAAAUAAGCGGAGGA